Molecule: ribosomal RNA, 460 nt
Filed under: uncultured bacterium
Lineage: Bacteria
Description: partial 16S ribosomal RNA
Rfam family: Bacterial small subunit ribosomal RNA
Source: RNAcentral
CCUACGGGAGGCUGCAGUGAGGAAUAUUGGUCAAUGGGCGGAAGCCUGAACCAGCCAAGUAGCGUGCGGGAUGAAGGCCCUACGGGUCGUAAACCGCUUUUGCACGGGGAUAACACCCUCCACUUGUGGAGGUCUGCAGGUACCGUGCGAAUAAGGGCCGGCUAAUUCCGUGCCAGCAGCCGCGGUAAUACGUAGGGGGCAAGCGUUAUCCGGAUUUACUGGGUGUAAAGGGGGCGCAGACGGCAAUGCAAGCCAGGAGUGAAAGUCCGGGGCCCAACCCCGGGACUGCUCUUGGAACUGCAUGGCGGGAGUACAGGAGGGGCAGGCGGAAUUCCUAGUGUAGCGGUGAAAUGCGUAGAUAUUAGGAGGAACACCGGUGGCGAAGGCGGCAUGCUGGACUGUGACUGACGUUGAGGCCCGAAGGCGUGGGGAGCAAACAGGAUUAGAUACCCUUGUAGUC